This 377-nucleotide unclassified non-coding RNA is filed under the name uncultured Acidimicrobiia bacterium. RNAcentral's name for it is "contains 16S-23S intergenic spacer region". Lineage: Bacteria; Bacillati; Actinomycetota; Acidimicrobiia. The record is from RNAcentral.
UCCGGUUUGUCACCGGCAGUCUCCUACGAGUCCCCGGCAUUACCCGCUGGCAACAUAGGACAAGGGUUGCGCUCGUUGCGGGACUUAACCCAACAUCUCACGACACGAGCUGACGACAACCAUGCACCACCUGUGCAAGGCCCCGAAGGACACCGUAUCUCUACGGCUUUUCCCUGCAUGUCAAGCCCAGGUAAGGUUCUUCGCGUUGCCUCGAAUUAAGGCACAUGCUCCGCCGCUUGUGCGGGCCCCCGUCAAUUCCUUUGAGUUUUAGCCUUGCGGCCGUACUCCCCAGGCGGGGCACUUAAUGCGUUAGCUACGGCACGGAGUCCGUCGAUAAGACCCCACACCUAGUGCCCAACGUUUACGGCGUGGACUAC